This 4490-nucleotide long non-coding RNA is filed under the name Sus scrofa (pig). RNAcentral's name for it is "lncRNA (ENSSSCG00050078899.1)". Lineage: Eukaryota; Metazoa; Chordata; Mammalia; Artiodactyla; Suidae. The record is from RNAcentral.
UUUUUUUUUUUUUUUUGUCUUUUCUAGGGCUGCUCCUGUGGCAUAUGGAAGUUCCCAGGCUAGGGAUCUAAUCAGAGCUGUAGCCGCUGGCCUGCGCCAGAGCCACAGCAACUCGGGAUCUGAACUGCCUCUGCGACCUACCUAUACCACGGCUCAUGGCAACGCCAGAUCCUUAACCCGCUGAGCGAGGCCAGGGAUCGAACCCGCAACCUCAUGGUUCCUAGUCAGAUUCGUUAACCACUGAGCCACGACAGGAACUCCAAAAAUUAAUAAAUAUUUUAAAAGAUAUAAUGCAUGAGGGAAAUUCAUUUACAAUAGCAAAAACAAAAGUUUCUUAGAAUAAACUUAAGCGUCUGUGCCUUUUAGGCAAAGACCCCCAGGAACACACCGUUGGCUGGACAAAUUGGGAUUAUUGUUGUCGCAUCAGAGAGCACACACUCUAGGGAAAUUAUAUCGUGUCUUGGUAAGCAGGUGCUGGAAAAUACUUAUUAUAGAAUUUGGUCUUGUGGUAGGUGACCUUGAGGAGGGUUUAAUGAAGGGGGCUUUACUCUGGGUUGAUGCAGGUCAGGAAAUGAGAGGACUUCUACGAAUGCUAUCUUAAUCACCCUUAUCUAACAGAGAAGACUAGACUGAGACUAAAGGGAGUUUUUUAAUGUUCUGACAAAAAAAAAUUUUAUGGUCACAGCACAGUUUUAAUUUCCCCUUAUUUAGCCCCUUAAGCCACCCUUAAUUUCCAAAGAAAGACAAUAACAAAACCAUAUUUCCACUAAACAAGAUUCAGCUAUCCUGCAUACAAACAAAACACACCAACCCUCUCAAAAAGAGGAUGCUGAAUCUUUGGGUGAUGUUCUGUAACUUAAAUUUGAUAUGCUAUAACUUCAGUUCUGAACAUAAAGUUAACUAUGAUUGGAAUUCCCUUGUGGCUCAGCAGGUUAAGGGUCUGAUAUUGUUACUGCUGCUGCUGAGGUUGCUGCUGUGGCACAGGUUCAAGUCUAAGAAUUGGCAGAAAGGCCAUGACUCCGUUUGGAUGAGUCAAGUUAAACUUCUGUUCACUCAACUUAGAACUCUCUUCCUUUUACAGAUCAAGCGGGGAUUCAGUAGAAGGCCUAUUUUUUAUCUUCCAGGAACACCAUGGUCAACUCACCCAUGUGUAGGUCUUUGUUUUGUUUUUGUUUUUUAAAGAUUUAAUUGCUAUUUAAUCUUUUUCAACAUGGAAGUUCCCAGGCUAGGGGUCCAGUCGGAGCUACAGCUGCCAGCCUACACCACAGCCACAACACCACCAGAUCCGAGCCCCAUCUGUGACCUACACCACAGCUCACAGCAACGCCGAAUCCUUAACCCACUGAGCGAGGCCAGGGAUCAAACCUGCAACCUCAUGGUUACUACUCAGAUUCCUUUUGGCUGAGCCAUGACAGGAACUCCACAUUUCCCUGGUUAUUCAUGAUGUUGAGCAUCUUUUCAUAUGCCUGUUGGCCAUCUGUGUAUCUUCUUUGGAAAAAUGUCUAUUCAGCUCCUUCCAUGCAUAGGUCUUUGUAAGUCAGACUAUCCUGACUGAUGCUUUGCCUGCACUGUCCAUCACAGUAACCUUGACCAUCUGGUCUUGGGACAAAUUAGUGCUGUCACUUGACCUUGCCAACCGAGGAUCUCAUUCCCCCCAUGGAUUAGGGAUCCCAUUUCAAUGGUAGCCAUCGCUGCCAUCAUUUCUGACCUAAAGAGAAAAGAGGUCCCAGCUGCUGGAGCUCCUCUCACCAAUGAAUUGACCACAGUAGUGCAAUAUGUGUCCUCUAGGCUGCAAUAUGUGACCCUCCUAGGCUGGUAAGCAGUUCUUCCAUCAUCAACCCAUUCUGAUCACUUCUGCUCAGUAUAUCAAGGCAGUUCUGGCAUCUCAAUUCACUUAGUAUAGGCCACCUUUGGAUACAUGUUUCACUCAACCUCACAAAUAAUUAGAGCCCUUUUAACUCCUUCAGCUGACUCUCUGCUGAGUGGUCCCGACAGUAGAGUCUGCCAAACCUUUUCUAUAGAUGGCCUGAGGCUUUGCUGACCCAUCUGUCUUUGUCACAACUCUUCAGUUCUGCUGUUGGAGCACAAAAGCAAUAUGUAAAUGAAAGAGAAUAUUCCUAUAAUAUUUUCUUCAUGGACACCUAAAUUUGAAUUUCAGAAAAUUUUCCAGGGUCAUGAAAUAUGACUCUUCUUUUGAUUUUUUUUCAGCCAUAUCAAAAUGCAAAAAAAAAAAAAAAAACCUUAGCUGGCUGCAAAACACCUACAGCCCUUCGGGUUAUGAGGAUCCUUAAGAAGCAGAUAACCUCCCACCCAAGAUGAAGGGUUUCCCCUCUAAGGGAGGCCUUUAGAAUAAGAACAAAUGACAACAACUUGCUGUGUCUAUUAGGCUGCAAACUAAGAGGAACAGAUCUGAGUUUAUGUUAUUUACUCCGCUGGUCAUAAGGAAUGAACUGCUUUCUAGAAUUUUUGACCAGGAUCUUACUACCAAGUAGCAAAUCUAAUACUCUGUAUCCACUUCCUUUCCAAGCUCACUUAAAAAUAUCAGGCACCGGAGUUCCUGCUAUGGCUUGACAAACCCGACUAAGAGCCAUGAGGACGUGGGAUCGAUCCCUGGCCUCGCUCAGUGGGUGAAGGAUCUGGUGUUGCCAGGAGCUGUGGUGCAGGAUCCUUAACCCACUCUGAAAGGCCAAGGAUGGAACCCACAAGCUCAUGGUUCCUAGUCGGAUUUGUUAACCACUGAGCCACGACAGGAACUCCUGGAAUUUUUUUUAAUUAAAAAAAUUUUUUUAGGAGUUCCUGUUGUGGCACAAUGGGAUCCAUAUUGUCUCUUCAGUAGCCAGGAGUCAGGUUCAAUCCCUGGCCGAGCCCAGUGGGUUAAAAAAUCCAGUAUUGCCACAGUUGUGCACAGCUGCAGCUUGGAUCUGAUCCGUGGUCCAGGAACGCCGUAUGCCAGGUGCAGCCGAAAAAGAAGAAAAAUAAAAACAAAACAGCAGAGGAGUGGAUUUGGCCUACGGUCGCAUUUGCCAAUCCUUGCCUGGGGUUUAGAAUAUACAUCUUUAAUUCAUCUCAAUCUGAUUUCAAAUAAUAUUAUGCUACUUCACAUACAGUAAAAGAAACUGGUGACAAUAUACUCACAAGUCUUCCCUCCCAUCUUUUGUGUAUUAUUAUCAUAUAUUUUAUUUUUAUAUAUGCUAUAAAUCCACUUGCUAUUAUUUUUACUUUAGAUAGUUCAUUAUCUCUUAGGUGAUUAAAAUAGUCUAGACAUGUCUCUCUCUCUCUUUUUUUUUUUUUGCUUGUGCUCUCUUUUAUUUUUUUGGCUGUGCCCACAGCAUGCAAAAAUUCCUAGGUUAGGGACUGAAUCCAUGCCUCAUCAGUGACCCAAGCUGCAGCAGUGACAACACUGGAUCCUUAAUGAACUAGGCCACCAGGGAACUCCUAGAUAUGCUUUUUAUAUUUACUUUUAUUUUAACCAUUUUUUUGAUAUCUUCUUUUUUUUUUUUUUUUUUUGCAGCUGCACCUGCGGCACAUGUAAGUACCUGGGCUAGGGGUCAAAUUGGAGCUGCAGGUGUGGCCCUAAAAGAAAAAAAAAAAAAGACUUUUUACAGUAGCGGUCUGCUGGUAAUGAAAUCUUUCAGCUUUUGUUUAUCUGAAGAAGUUCUAUUUCCCUUCAUUUUAUUUAUUUUAUAAUUAUUUAUUGGCCACACCCCCCCCACAUGUGGAAGUUCCCUUGGCCAGGAAUUGAACCUGUACCACAGCAGCAACCUGAGCCACUGCAGGGACAAUGCUGGAUCUUUAACCCACUGAGCCACCAGGAAACUCCCUCACCUCAUUUCUUAAAAAAUUACACACAGUGAAAAAAAUCAUACACUGUAAAACUGGCUUUUUUGCAACACAGUUCUGUGAGUUUUGAGAUAUGUAUAGGAUCCUAUAACCACCACAAUCAGGACACAGAAUUAGCUGUGCUUUCACUAAAAAAAGGGGAAAAAAAGCUUUUUAUUUUGAAAUAAUUAUAGAUUCAUAGAAAGUUGGAAAAAAUAACAUAGAGUCCUAUGUACCCUUCACUAUUUCCUCUUACAUAACUGUUGAACAAGAUCAGAACCUAAUAUUGUCAAUUCAAAAAACUGACAUUAGCACAAUACUGUUAAUCAGCCUUAUUAAGACCUUAUUUACACUUCGCCAGUUUUUACAUGAAUUCAUAUAUCUGUGAGUGUUCGGGGGAUGUGGCUGUAUGCAAUUUUAUGCUAUGUAUGGACUCAAUGUUACCAGCAGCUUCAUUCAUGAAAGAUUCUCUUGCUGCAUAUAGAAUUCUGGGUUGGCAUUUCUUCAGCAUUUUAAAGACGUCAGCCCAAAGGGGAAAAAAAGAUGUCAGGAGCUCACUGCUGUGGCACAGCAGGUUAAGGAUCCAGCAUAGGCCAUAGCUGCAGCUUGGAUUUGACCUCUAGCCUGGGAAUUUCCGUAUGUUGUGGAUGCAGGGGAAAAAAAAAAAAAAA